Molecule: ribosomal RNA, 253 nt
Filed under: uncultured bacterium
Lineage: Bacteria
Description: partial 16S ribosomal RNA
Rfam family: Bacterial small subunit ribosomal RNA
Source: RNAcentral
UACGAAGGGGGCUAGCGUUGCUCGGAAUCACUGGGCGUAAAGCGCACGUAGGCGGCUCUUUAAGUCAGGGGUGAAAUCCUGGAGCUCAACUCCAGAACUGCCUUUGAUACUGGGGAUCUCGAGUCCGGAAGAGGUGAGUGGAACUCCGAGUGUAGAGGUGAAAUUCGUAGAUAUUCGGAAGAACACCGAUGGCGAAGGCAGCCAUCUGGACCGACACUGACGCUGAGGCGCGAAAGCGUGGGGAGCAAACAGG